AUCACUUUAGAUGCAUUUACUGCUAAGUAUCUACUCAGCGGCUCCAGUUACAUUGAUGUCAGGACAAAGGAAGAAUUCAAUAAUGGGCACCUGGAGAAUGCACUGAAUAUCCCAUACAUGUUUUAUACUAAAAAAGGUACUGCUAAAUUAAUAUUUACAGAUCUAUAUAUUUUUAAUUCUCAAUUGAAUUUUCACUUUUAUUUUUCUUUGAGUUGAUAAUAAUUCAAUUUUAUUUAUUGUUGUCACCGGCAUUAAUUCAGGCUGGGUGAAGAACCCUAAAUUUGUCGACAAGGUUCUUGCCGUUUGUGGCAAAGAAGAUCGUCUUAUCGUGGGUUGCCAAGAUGGAGCAAGAUCUGAGCAUGCAUGUAACGAUCUUCGUGACGCUGAGUUCAGACAUGUAUCAAAUAUGGGAGGAGGAUACUCUGCGUUGGUUGCUAAUGGAUCAUAUGUAAUUACGAAGCCAGAACCUACGAAGCCAAAACUCAGUUUCAUUGCAAGAAUAUGUCGCUUAUUUUAGAGACGUGUUGUGCUAUUUUUACCCUUAAAAUAUCUUAUUUCAAUACUAAUUUAAAUAUAUUUUCUAUUU
Molecule: non-coding RNA, 586 nt
Organism: Erythranthe guttata (spotted monkey flower)
Lineage: Eukaryota; Viridiplantae; Streptophyta; Magnoliopsida; Lamiales; Phrymaceae
Source: RefSeq, a predicted model, not a curated record